AGCAGCCGCGGUAAUUCCAGCUCCAAUAGCGUAUAUUAAAGUUGUUGCAGUUAAAAAGCUCGUAGUUGAAUUUCGGGGUUAGUAGGCUGGUCGUGCCACUGGUACGUACUGGUCUCACUGAUUCCUCCCUCCUGAUGAACCGUAAUGCCAUUAAUUUGGUGUUGCGGGGAAACUGGACUGUUACUUUGAAAAAAUUAGAGUGUUUAAAGCAGGCUAACGCUUGAAUACAUUAGCAUGGAAUAAUGAAAUAGGACGUUCGAUCCUAUUUUGUUGGUUUCUAGGAUUGACGUAAUGAUUAAUAGGGAUAGUUGGGGGCAUUAGUAUUCAAUUGUCAGAGGUGAAAUUCUUGGAUUUAUUGAAGACUAACUACUGCGAAAGCAUUUGCCAAGGAUGUUUUCAUUAACCAAGAACGAAAGUUAGGGGAUCGAAGACGAUCAGAUACCGUCGUAGUCUUAACCAUAAACUAUGCCGACUAGGGAUCGGAUGAUGUUAUUUUUAAUGACUCAUUCGGCGCCUUACG
This 520-nucleotide ribosomal RNA is filed under the name uncultured Glomus. Its description in RNAcentral is "SSU rRNA". It matches the Rfam family "Eukaryotic small subunit ribosomal RNA", at positions 569 to 1092 of the family's 1831-position model. Lineage: Eukaryota; Fungi; Glomeromycota; Glomeromycetes; Glomerales; Glomeraceae. The record is from RNAcentral.